GACCUCUAAUUCUUUAAGAAGUUUGUCUAAAAGAUUGGCGGGCCUUGUACACACCACCCGUCACACUAUGAGAGCUGACCAUGCCCGAAGUCGUUACCUUAACCAUAAGGAGGGGGAUAUCGAAGGGAAGGCUAGUGACUGGAGUGAAGUCGUAACAAGGUAGCCGUACUGGAAGGGGCGGCUG
RNAcentral lists this non-coding RNA (184 nucleotides) under Gossypium hirsutum (cotton). Its description in RNAcentral is "Bacterial small subunit ribosomal RNA". It matches the Rfam family "Bacterial small subunit ribosomal RNA", at positions 1330 to 1520 of the family's 1533-position model. The record is from Rfam by way of RNAcentral. Lineage: Eukaryota; Viridiplantae; Streptophyta; Magnoliopsida; Malvales; Malvaceae.